This is a long non-coding RNA of Ailuropoda melanoleuca (giant panda), 1895 nucleotides long. RefSeq lists it as uncharacterized. NCBI's taxonomy places the organism in Eukaryota, Metazoa, Chordata, Mammalia, Carnivora, Ursidae. The transcript is spliced from 4 exons. The record is from RefSeq and is a predicted model, not a curated record.
GUUUUGAUUUUGUUUUAAAGGACAAGAGACUUCCUCCAGACUAAAAGACAAGAGACUUCCUCCAGACUGUCUUCAUUUUCUUAGGGCAUUUUCUCUCCCAUUCCCAACCCCUGAAGUUAUUGUAACUCUUUACUUUAAAAUGAGCAACGUUCUAUGUUCCCAACACCAGAUGUUCCCAGUUCCUGAGCAAACCAACAAAAAUAGGCAGGCAUUUUCUGAUGAUGCGAUAAAGAGGGCAGCAACCUGCUUACUUCAGAGAAAACCUUCCCUUCCAUCACUGCUAAUGCUGAAAUUAUUUCUCUGCCAGAUGUUUCCUACAUUUCUAAACUGUUUUUAAUUUUAAGAUAUAGUUUUAAAUUCUGAUUUAAUCUUCACAGAUGUGAGAACUUUAAACUUCUCAGCAAGGAUAAAUCAGUAUCUAUGGUAGUUCAAGAAGUAGUCAGUUAGGAAUCCAUUGAUUCAUUUAUUCAACAAAUAUUUAAUCAAUGCCAGCUGUGUACCAAGCACCAUUUUAGGAUUCAGAGGCAAAUUAGCCUGAUAAAGGCCUAUCUUCUCAGUGCUUUCAUGGAAAGUGAAGCAGAGAUUAAACAAGCAAAUGAGAAGUAUCAGACACAAAGUCCACAAUGAGGAUAACACUGAUGUGAUAGUAACGGGGGACUGUUUCAGGUUAGGUGGUUAAAAGAGGCCUCUCCAAGGAGGUGCUGGUUAAGUGAAGAGAAGGGCGAGGAGCCAGACGUGAAAGAUCAGAAGCCCAUUACGGUUGAAGUGAAGAGAGCCAGACUGUCUGAAAUCCUUUGCUUCCCUUGAACAGUUGGUACUGGACCAGUGAGCCCCCUUUCUCCCCAGAGGCAGCUGUUCUGUAUGCGGGGCUGGAAGGCUCUGAAGGAGUUUAUGAAGAAGCACAAAGAGGAUCGGGUUGGAGUCUGAAGAUCUGGGUUCUUGUUGUAACCAUCCCCCUAAUGGAAAGUUCGUGAUUUCAGACAGCACAUUUAAUCUCCUGCUUCAUUUAUUCAUUGGUGCAGCCCCCGCGCCCCCCAGGCUGCAGGGGAGCCCCUCGCCCGCAGCCGCACCGUGGACCGGACGCUGGACGACGGAGGACACAUUUCCCGGACCGUGAGGCGCCAGGACCUCACGACGUCGCGCGCUACCGUCCGGGGGCGAGAGCGGCGGCCUGUGCGCCCCGCGCCAGCGCUGCACGGACGACCCCCGCCCGGCCAGGGUGCAGGCUCGCCCGCAGGGUUCGGAGCGCGGCCCCCGCCCCUGCCGUGAAUGUUCGUACUUGCAACGGCCCCGCAGCGGGAAGCGCCUCAGGUGCGGCGUCUGCGCCGCCGGCGCCGGGAAACACUCCUGGUCGGUGGGUUCAGAGCCGCGCUACGGCCCGCGGCUGAUUUCUGAGGAGGGUCGGUGCGGAAGGGCACGGAGAGGACGUGACCCCCGGGCUCCAUCCGGGCACCCGAGGCCCCUCGCCCCGCACACCCCGGCCCCACCUGGAGGUGUCUGUCUGCCCCGGGGCUGCUGACGGUGAGGCCGGCUGAGGCCUGGCGGCGACCCUUCCGUCCCCGCGGCAGGUGCGGGUGCCGACACGUGCUGGGCGCCAGGACGAGCCUGCGGGUGAGUGUCCUUUUGGUGUCCCGUUGUCUGCGGCCCGUCCCAUUUCACCUGGGAAGACCAACAACCUCACGGUGUCAGAGCGUCUGAUUUGUCAGCAAAUCCAGUGACAGCAAAGCGCGCGCCGCACUCCUGGUUUUCCAGUCCCUUCGAUGCCCAAACUGCAGGUGGAUCAUCUCCAUCUUACAGAUGAAGAAACUUGCAGAACUUCAGUCACCUGCUCAAGACCAGGCUGGUAAGUACCUGCGAGGAGACUCUGUGUGUGUUCCGCUACAGCAGGCGGCCCU